GACGAACGCUGGCGGCGUGCUUAACACAUGCAAGUCGAACGGAAAGGCCCUGCUUUUGUGGGUUGCUCGAGUGGCGAACGGGUGAGUAACACGUGAGUAACCUGCCCUUGACUUUGGGAUAACUUCAGUAAACUCGGUCUAAUACCGGAUAGGAGCUCCUGCUGCAUGGUGUGGUUUGUAAAGUUUCGGCGGUUCGGGAUGGGCUCGCGGCUUAUCAGCUUGUUGGUGGGGUAGUGGCUUACCAAGGCUUUGACGGGUAGCCGGCCUGAGAGGGUGACCGGCCACAUUGGGAUAGAGAUACGGCCCAGACUCCUACGGGAGGCAGCAGUGGGGAAUAUUGCACAAUGGGCGGAAGCAUGAUGCAGCAACGCCGCGUGCGGGAUGACGGCCUUCGGGUUGUAACCCGCUUUCGCCUGUGACGAAGCGUGAGUGACGGUAAUGGGUAAAGAAGCACCGGCUAACUACGUG
This 468-nucleotide ribosomal RNA is filed under the name uncultured bacterium. Its description in RNAcentral is "partial 16S ribosomal RNA". It matches the Rfam family "Bacterial small subunit ribosomal RNA", at positions 28 to 507 of the family's 1533-position model. The record is from RNAcentral.